GACGAACGCUGGCGGCGUGCUUUACACAUGCAAGUCGAACGGAAAGGCCCUGCUUUUGUGGGGUGCUCGAGUGGCGAACGGGUGAGUAACACGUGAGUAACCUGCCCUUGACUUUGGGAUAACUUCAGGAAACUGGGGCUAAUACCGGAUAGGAGCUCCUGCUGCAUGGUGGGGGUUGGAAAGUUUCGGCGGUUGGGGAUGGACUCGCGGCUUAUCAGCUUGUUGGUGGGGUAGUGGCUUACCAAGGCUUUGACGGGUAGCCGGCCUGAGAGGGUGACCGGCCACAUUGGGACUGAGAUACGGCCCAGACUCCUACGGGAGGCAGCAGUGGGGAAUAUUGCACAAUGGGCGGAAGCCUGAUGCAGCAACGCCGCGUGCGGGAUGACGGCCUUCGGGUUGUAAACCGCUUUCGCCUGUGACGAAGCGUGAGUGACGGUAAUGGGUAAAGAAGCGCCGGCUAACUACGUG
This 468-nucleotide ribosomal RNA is filed under the name uncultured bacterium. Its description in RNAcentral is "partial 16S ribosomal RNA". It matches the Rfam family "Bacterial small subunit ribosomal RNA", at positions 28 to 507 of the family's 1533-position model. The record is from RNAcentral.